Molecule: microRNA precursor, 78 nt
Filed under: Schistosoma margrebowiei
Lineage: Eukaryota; Metazoa; Platyhelminthes; Trematoda; Strigeidida; Schistosomatidae
Description: mir-3492 microRNA precursor family
Rfam family: mir-3492 microRNA precursor family
Source: Rfam by way of RNAcentral
AGCCUCCUGAAUCCGUGCUGAGAUUUCGUUGGAUACCAACACGUGGGGGCGGAUCAAACUUCCAAGAUAUGAGAAGUU